RNAcentral lists this transfer RNA (85 nucleotides) under Bacillota bacterium. RNAcentral's name for it is "Firmicutes bacterium (anaerobic digester metagenome) tRNA-Leu". It matches the Rfam family "tRNA". Rfam says of the family: Transfer RNA (tRNA) molecules are approximately 80 nucleotides in length. Their secondary structure includes four short double-helical elements and three loops (D, anti-codon, and T loops). Further hydrogen bonds mediate the characteristic L-shaped molecular structure. tRNAs have two regions of fundamental functional importance: the anti-codon, which is responsible for specific mRNA codon recognition, and the 3' end, to which the tRNAs corresponding amino acid is attached (by aminoacyl-tRNA synthetases). tRNAs cope with the degeneracy of the genetic code in two manners: having more than one tRNA (with a specific anti-codon) for a particular amino acid; and 'wobble' base-pairing, i.e. permitting non-standard base-pairing at the 3rd anti-codon position. Lineage: Bacteria; Bacillati; Bacillota. The record is from RNAcentral.
GCGGGAGUGGCGGAACUGGCAGACGCGCAGGACUUAGGAUCCUGUGCCGCAAGGCGUGGGGGUUCAAAUCCCUUCUCCCGCACCA